CAAGCCCCAUUCAACCCUCUCAGAUGUUUGACACUACUAUUAUUGUUGUUGGUGGUGUUGUUCUUGUUGACAAGUUGGUUGCAGCACCUCAUGCAUGACGCCAAUGCAAAACCCGGCUAUCCUCGUGGCCAGUCUGGUAUCCCACCCCUCCCUCAAUCAACCCCAUCCUCGACCAACAAAACCUGCCCGGCUGUCGGUCCGUCCAUGCGGGCAAUAACAUGCUUCUUCCCGUAGUCCCGGGGGAUCGGUUGAUAAGGUGCCUCGAAUCGGAAUACUCGAUACUCGCCCUCCACCGUUGACGCAACACGAACAUGACGGGGCGGGGUCAUUUUUUCGCGUCGGAAACAUGUGAGAGACACCGAGGACGCUCCACACUUCUUCCUUGAUUCCACUGGAACUGGAACUGGAUGGAUUUCCCUCAGAUCUGAGAAAGGCAGAACAAAACAAAGGUCAUCUUGAUGUCAUGUUAUACAGAUCCAUCGCAAGAAGUAUCCAGCCGUCCUUCCAACUUCAACCCUAUCUUCCUCUCCUCCUUGCCUAAAAAACCCUCGAUAUGACGUAUGGACCGUGUCAAGAUCCAGCUAAUCGGAGUCGGUUGUCCUUGAUGCAUGCAUGCAUUCAUGCAUACAGAGACACUGACCAGUGGCCAUACGCACAGUCCUGCAAAUGUUUUUGACCCUGCCAUGCUCUCUUACAACCCCUCAUCUCGUCACCCUUUCGUCUUCCCUAUGUGCUAUGUGCAGUAUGCUGCACUAUCGAUAACGGUUGAACUUUUUUUUAAAUAAUACCGUACUAUCUAAUACACAUUUACCCCUAGCAGCUGAAAGUGGAAUCUGCCCAAUGCUGUCUAGAUUUCGCUCGUAUGGAAAUGAGAAAUUGUGUAUCUCCUUUCCCGAAACUUUCCUUCCUCCCCAGCUCCCAUAUAUUCUUGUUUGCAUCAGUUCCGGAAUGAGCCUCCGGGACAGUUGUAGGAAAGAGGAGGCGAAGGGAGGAGAUUGAGAAUGAUUUAUGUUAAGAUAACUAACCUCACCAUCUAAGACGUGGGAAAUGGGCUCAUGAUGGAUUACAGCAUCUGGUGAUAUCUGAAUUGGUUUUUAUUUACUCUGUACGCUGGUAAAUCUGUAAAUGCACGAUCGAUCGUAUAUCAGAUGGGUCAAGGUUUUAGAUGCCACCAACAAGUUUCAAAGACAAGUUGAUCCACGGGAUAUUCAUUUGUUUUGAAGAAUCA
Molecule: small RNA, 1228 nt
Filed under: Histoplasma capsulatum var. duboisii H88
Lineage: Eukaryota; Fungi; Ascomycota; Eurotiomycetes; Onygenales; Ajellomycetaceae
Description: Histoplasma capsulatum H88 hypothetical RNA
Source: RNAcentral